GCACGAGCGCAACCCUCGUCCUUAGUUGCCAUCAUUAAGUUGGGCACUUUAAGGAGACUGCCGGUGACAAACCGGAGGAAGGUGGGGAUGACGUCAAGUCAUCAUGCCCCUUACAUCCUGGGCUACACACGUACUACAAUGCAACGGACAAAGGGCAGCCAACUAGCGAUAGUGCGCAAAUCCCAUAAACCGUUGCUCAGUUCAGAUUGCAGGCUGCAACUCGCCUGCAUGAAGGCGGAAUCGCUAGUAAUCGCAGGUCAGCAUACUGCGGUGAAUACGUUCCCGGGCCUUGUACACACCGCCCGU
This 306-nucleotide ribosomal RNA is filed under the name uncultured cyanobacterium. RNAcentral describes it as "bacterial SSU rRNA". It matches the Rfam family "Bacterial small subunit ribosomal RNA", at positions 1090 to 1397 of the family's 1533-position model. Lineage: Bacteria; Bacillati; Cyanobacteriota. The record is from RNAcentral.